GAGUGAACGCUGGCGCUAGGCCUAACACAUGCAAGUCGAACGGCAGCACAGUAAUAGCUUGCUCUUACGGGUGGCGAGUGGCGGACGGGUGCGGAAUACAUCGGAAUCUACUUUUUCGUGGGGGAUAACGUAGGGAAACUUACGCUAAUACCGCAUACGACCUACGGGUGAAAGCAGGGAAUCUUCGGACCUUGCGCGAUUGAAUGAGCCGAUGUCGGAUUAGCUAGUUGGCGGGGUAAAGCCCCACCAAGGCGACGAUCCGUAGCUGGUCUGAGAGGAUGAUCAGCCACACUGGAACUGAGACACGGUCCAGACUCCUACGGGAGGCAGCAGUGGGGAAUAUUGGACAAUGGGCGCAAGCCUGAUCCAGCCAUACCGCGUGGGUGAAGAAGGCCUUCGGGUUGUAAAGCCCUUUUGUUGGGAAAGAAAAGCAGCAGGUUAAUACCCCGCUGUUCUGACGGUACCCAAAGAAUAAGCACCGGCUAACUUCGUG
RNAcentral lists this ribosomal RNA (493 nucleotides) under uncultured bacterium. RNAcentral describes it as "partial 16S ribosomal RNA". It matches the Rfam family "Bacterial small subunit ribosomal RNA", at positions 27 to 507 of the family's 1533-position model. The record is from RNAcentral.